AGAGUUUGAUCCUGGCUCAGAUUGAACGCUGGCGGCAUGCCUUACACAUGCAAGUCGAACGGUAACGCGGGGCAACCUGGCGACGAGUGGCGAACGGGUGAGUAAUGCAUCGGAACGUGCCCAGUAGUGGGGGAUAGCCCGGCGAAAGCCGGAUUAAUACCGCAUACGACCUGAGGGUGAAAGGGGGGGAUCGCAAGACCUCUCGCUAUUGGAGCGGCCGAUGUCAGAUUAGGUAGUUGGUGGGGUAAAGGCCUACCAAGCCGACGAUCUGUAGCUGGUCUGAGAGGACGACCAGCCACACUGGGACUGAGACACGGCCCAGACUCCUACGGGAGGCAGCAGUGGGGAAUUUUGGACAAUGGGCGCAAGCCUGAUCCAGCCAUGCCGCGUGCGGGAAGAAGGCCUUCGGGUUGUAAACCGCUUUUGUCAGGGAAGAAAUCUUCUGGGCUAAUACCUCGGGAGGAUGACGGUACCUGAAGAAUAAGCACCGGCUAACUACGUGCCAGCAGCCGCGGUAAUACGUAGGGUGCAAGCGUUAAUCGGAAUUACUGGGCGUAAAGCGUGCGCAGGCGGUUUUGUAAGACAGAGGUGAAAUCCCCGGGCUCAACCUGGGAACUGCCUUUGUGACUGCAAGGCUUGAGUGCGGCAGAGGGGGAUGGAAUUCCGCGUGUAGCAGUGAAAUGCGUAGAUAUGCGGAGGAACACCGAUGGCGAAGGCAAUCCCCUGGGCCUGCACUGACGCUCAUGCACGAAAGCGUGGGGAGCAA
RNAcentral lists this ribosomal RNA (766 nucleotides) under uncultured bacterium. RNAcentral describes it as "bacterial SSU rRNA". It matches the Rfam family "Bacterial small subunit ribosomal RNA", at positions 8 to 771 of the family's 1533-position model. The record is from RNAcentral.